AAUGAAGCCAACUACUUAAAAUAGGACGUUGGAAACAAAAUGAAACCAGAUAGGGACGACAAAUUAAUACUUGAUUUGCUGAACAAGAUAGUCUCAACGAGUGGAGCUCAAAUCCAGGCUAAUUUAGCCCGACUGCCAUAUGAGGUGAAAAGGGCUCAAAAAAUCGACCGAGAACCAACCUUGAAAAGAAUUGUGGAGCUUAAAUAAAAAAUGGAUUCAUUACGCGAGAGACGAGCGUGCGAAAGAUUAAGCCAACAGUCUAGGAAAAGUAAUGAGUUGACUGGCGCCCGUGUGUACUGUAAGGAUCAAUUUUUCACCAUGGACCCGGUAACAAAAAAGGUAAGAUCCAUCGAAUUUAGAUAUGGAAAAUUGAUUUAAACAAAUCCCCACGAUGAAGCUGUGGAAUAAAGUAAUAUUUUACCCUUUAUACAGGUGUACCUUUAUACAAAUCCAGAUGCAGUUAAAUUCAGAGCUGCAACAUUUACUUUAAAAAUGUUAAACAAGAUUGUUUACCAUAAAAUUUAAAUCUGAAGUUUCAAUUUUUUGCCAUUACCCAUAAUCAUUAAAUAUCAAAAAAAAAAAAUCUCAUGUCUUUUUGAUAUAUUCUUGAAACUUCAAUGCAUCAGCUGGAGGCACAUACCCAGACACCUUUGUCCCGUUUUCUUCGUAUUUCUACAUGAGAUUGUAAUUUUUAAAAUUUAAAUUAGUCAAAUGUUAAUAUAAGUUAAUUUUUAAAUAUGUGACUUACAAUCUCAUCAACUGUCCCAACUUUACUUAUAAGCGUGACUAGGUCCCGUCUCGUCUAAAUGAAGGAAAAGUAAAUUCCACCAUUAGUUAUUUUGAGAGUUAUCGAAGGAACUUUUCCAAACUGGUGGCUUCUAAAUACGAAACACAAAAAUUAUCUUCCAAAUGCAUAGCUUUUUCCUUGACCUCAUCGGGAUUUUGACACCUAUCAACCUGUCAAAAAAGUUUAGAGGAUAAACAAAUCAAAAAUAUGUUGUUAUUUGUUGGAUUUGAACCAAAUUAAAAGGCAGAACACUACUUUGUUCCAGAGCUUCACCAUGAGAAUAGUUGAAGCAUUUAAGUUAAAAAGCAUCUUGUCGACAGUAUCCAUUUGAUUUGCUACUAAUAGAUGACUGCAUUAAUAACAAUAUAACUUCAUUAUUAUGGUGUAAAUACAUUUUAUAAAAAUACAACAUAAUUAACCUUAUAUCAACUACAACUGCUAGUAGAAAAGAAUGUUUUAUCUCCUUAUAGGGGUAAAUGUAGAAAGCUUCAACACCAAAAACAAUAAUUGGUUCAUUAUUAGUAAAUUUAUAAUACAUAUCAGAAAAAAAAAAAAAAAAAAACUUACAAGGUAUGGGGGGUUUUGUAAAAACCCUAUAUUGUCCCGUAAAAAAUGUUCUUAAUAUUUUUAAUCUAAAAAAACGUUUAUAUAAAUCACUUCCAAUAAAAAAGUUUGUAAUAUUUGAAUUUUAUAAAGUAAGGUGGAACUCAUCCUCCUUGUAAAUGGAUUUAGUGUCGUAAAAAGUUGAUCCUCCGGUCAAGUUGUUGAAAAUACUACUUUCUCCCCGAGUUGGUGUAUCCAACAAAGGAAAUAGUAGGUAUACAUUCCUGUAUUGUUCUUGCCCGAGCUCUUCGCUCGUGCACAGACUCGAGUUCAAUUCCGAGCUCAUUAAUUUUUUUAAUACAUGUGCUCUGUUAACUUUUUUGGUGUUGUUCAUUUCAUGUUUUAGUCUCGCUAAGUCGACCUACAAAAUUUACAAUAUGUAAAGUUAAUUAUCAAUCAUCUUUAAAAGUAAAGAUACAUAAUUCAACCUGGACAUAAGCUUCUUUUGUUGAUGCUCUUUUGGUCAACAAAUCAACAAUAAGUUCUCUCUUAUCAAAUUUUACUUUGUUGCCAAGUUCAUCUUUUAGGUACUUGAGUUCAUCUUUAUAAUUCUAUUGGGUUAUCUGAUGAGAAACAAAAGUUGAAAUGUAAUGAAUUUAAAUCAACAAAGAAGAAAGACUUAAUGAGUGAAAUUUAGAACUAAAUGAAACACACAUAUCCACAUUUAAAAGCAUAAUCAAAUAAGAAGAAUGAAAGAAAACACCUAAAUGGAAAUAUAUAUAGGCUCUUUUGUGCUUCUUUUUAAGAAUUAUUCGUGUUUCCCAUUUUACCCUUUUUGAAAGCCUAUAUAUAGAGGUGUUUUCUUUCAAUUUUCUUAUUUGAUUAUGCUUUUAAAUGUGGAUAUGGGUGUUUAAUUCUAAAUUUCACUCAUUAAGUUUUUCUUCUUUGUUGAUUUAAAUUCAUUACAUUUUAACUUUUGUCUUUCAUCAGAUAACCCAACAGAAUUAUAAAUAUGAACUCCGAACUCAAGUACCUAAAAGAUGAACUUGGCGACAAAGUAAAAUUUGAUAGGAGGGAACUUCUUGUUGAUUUGUUGACCAAAAGAGCCUCGACAAAAGAAGCUCAUGUCCAGGUUGAAUACUCUAUUUUUACUUUUAAAGUUGAUUGAGAAUUAACUUUGCAUAUUGUAAAUUUUGUAGGUCAACUUAGCGAGACUAGAACAUGAAAUGAACAACAUCUAAAAAGUUAACAGAGCAUGUGUAUUAAAAAAAUUAACGAGCUUGGAAUUGAACUCGAGUCUGUGCGUGAGCGAAGAGCUCGCACAAGAACAAUGCAGGAACGUGUACUUACUAUUUCCCUUGUUGAAUACACCAACUCGGGGAGAAAAGUAGUAUUUUCAACAACUUGACCGGGUCGAGCGUUGCAGUCGAGGAUCAACUUUUUACCAUACUAGACCCGGUUACAAGGAAAGUGAGUUCUACCUUUACUUUACAAAAUUCAAAUAUUACAAUUUUUUUUAUUGAAACUAAUUUAUAUAGGCAUUUUUUUAGAUUAAAAAUUGUGAGAAUAUCCUUUUGCGGGAAUUGUAAGUUUUUUUUAUUUUUUCUGAUAUGUAUUAUCAAUUUACUAAUAACGAACUUAUGAUUUUUUUUGGUGUUGAAGCUUUCUGCAUUUACCCCUACAUUUGAGGAGAUAAAACAUUCUUCUCUACUAGCAGUUGUAGUUGAUAUAAAGUUGAUUAUGCUGUAUUUUUAUAAAAUGUAUUUGGACCUUAAUAAUGAAGUUAUAUUGUUAUUAAUGUAGUUAUCCACUAGUAGUAAAUUAGAUGGAUGCUGUCGAUAAGAUGUUUAUUGACUUAAAUGCUUCAACUAUUCCCAUGGUGAAGCUCUAGUAAUGUUUUGCCUUUUAAUUUGGUUCAAAUCCAACAAAUAGCAACAUACUUUUGACUAGUUUAUCCUUUAAACUUUUUUUGACAGGUUGAUAGGUGUCCAAAUCCCGAUGAAGUCAAGGAAAAAGCUACGCUUUUGGAAGAUACUUUUUGUGUUUCGUCUUUAGAAGCCACCAGUUUGGAAAUGUUCCUUCAAAAACUCUCAAAAAAAACUAAUGGUGGAAUUUACUUUUACUUAGUUAGAUGAGAUAGUCAGGCUUAAUAAGUAAGUUGGGACAGUAAUAAGAUUGUGAGUCAACAUAUAUAAAAAUUAGCUUAUUUUAACAUUUAACUAAUUUAAAUUUUAAAAAUUAUAAUUUUUUUGAUAUUAUGGGUAAUGGUAAAACAUUGAAACUUCCAUAUUUAAAUUUUAUGGUAAACAAUCCUCUUUAACAUUUUAGCCAAUUGUGGCACGAGGCAUCAUGUUUGAUUCCCACUAUGGGUUUCACUAAGUAAAUGUUCAUUAGCUAGAAAUGAAUAUCUUGUUGAAAGAAAUUGUAGAUUUUGCAAAAGAAAUAGUUUUCUUUUGUGAUCAACAUUCUUGUCAUUUUCUUGCAGCAAUUUUCCUGUCUUUAAGUUUGAAAGAAGAAAAAAGUUAACCAAGGAUAAGAGACAUCAAGUGUGAAAUACUUAUUACAUUGUAUUUCAGAUAGUUUAAAAAAACAAUUUAUUACCUCAUUAUAUUCCAUCAAGGAAUGAGAGAAAAAAAACAUCCCACCACGAUGGAAUGAAAUUCAGCCCAGGAGAAGGGAUCCAUUCCAUUCCUAUGUAGCAAACAAACAUGAUUUCUUCAUUUCAAACAUUACCUUAAGUCUUUUUAGUUUGAGGGAAUGGGUUGGACAGGUUAAUAUUAUAAUAAAAUGAGUCAUUACAUCC
Non-coding RNA from Lactuca sativa (garden lettuce), 4133 nucleotides. Lineage: Eukaryota; Viridiplantae; Streptophyta; Magnoliopsida; Asterales; Asteraceae. The record is from RefSeq and is a predicted model, not a curated record.